GUAACCCUGCCAUGUGCGAGUUGCGCAAGACGUGUUCCGAGCCAACACUCACACGUGGUGUGCCUAACUCCGGGGGUGGAUUAGAGGCUUCGAAAGAAGCUUCAUGAAGCUCUCGGGAGGGCACAAAAGUUGUUUCCGGGGUUCGGGAACAAAGCGCAUACGGCAUGGCGGGGUUUUA
RNAcentral lists this non-coding RNA (178 nucleotides) under Bacillota bacterium. RNAcentral describes it as "Firmicutes bacterium (hot springs metagenome) 6S RNA". It matches the Rfam family "6S / SsrS RNA". Rfam says of the family: E. coli 6S RNA was the first non coding RNA to be sequenced, but its function was unknown until recently. It consists of 184 nucleotides that fold into an extended hairpin structure with a large single-stranded internal bulge. The record is from RNAcentral. Lineage: Bacteria; Bacillati; Bacillota.